RNAcentral lists this long non-coding RNA (22332 nucleotides) under Marmota monax (woodchuck). The record is from RNAcentral. Lineage: Eukaryota; Metazoa; Chordata; Mammalia; Rodentia; Sciuridae.
CACCAACUCAUGAUGUGAUAUCUGUUUUGAGUGUAUAUAGUUUACUUAGUACAGAAUCUUCAAAUAUGUCCUCAAAAGCACAUAAUCUGUGAGAAGUAAAGCCUCAUUGAUAUUCGUGUCAUCUCUUUUGGGAAAUUUGGGAGUAGGGAUAGGUGUAUGCCUAUUUUCUUAAAAAGUCAAAAGAGAAAAAUCCUCAGAGAUCUUUGUGUGUUUUCCCCACUUUCAGGUUGCCAACUUGGCCUGUUCCAUCUCAAACAAUGAAGAAGGAGUAAAGCUUGUUCGAAUGUCUGCAAGCCAGUUAGAAGCCCUCUGUCCUCAGGUAAAGUACAGCUGGAAAUGGUUAUGAUGUCACCAAAUUGGAUUUUAUUAGAAUGGAAAUGAAGUUUAAGGUCUUUCUUUUCCUUUUCCUUCUCCUUCUCUUCCCCUUUCUUCUUUCUUUCUACCCUCACUCCUAGAAUUUUAAAUAGAAGUCUUGGAGUUGAGUCACUGGCAUAAAUGCUAUAUAGAUUGGAGACGUUUAUGUUUAAGUGUUUCCUCUUGGCAUUACUACCUCCUUGCCCUACAUUAAAAAUGCAUAGUCUUGUUGGACUCACAUGCUUAUCUAGUACAUGCAAAGAAGGCCCCGGCAUUGAGUGGUGGAAAAUACACACAUCUACAUAAGUAAAUAUAUGCAUAGUGUCCUCAAUUUCUGGAGAGUGAUUACACUGCUCAGUUGAUUACCUUUUCAGCAGGAAUGGGGGUGGGGGCACCUGCAACAUCAAACUGGAACCAUAAUGGUUCCUCUUAUCCUUAAGUGGUAACAGUUGUUCGUUCACCUGCAUUCAAUAUCUAUUGAAGGAAACCACAUUGGAAAGCUUGUCUUCUUGCACUAAAUGUCUUAAAGCAGCCUAUGAUACAAUUUAAUUCAGCUAGCCCCUAAAAUAAAAGAUCAAGAACUUUUCUACAUUCAUAAAGGCAUAUUGGAAGACAGGUAAUUAGGCUAAGCAUGUGGCACUUUAGAAAGACUGAAGAACAUAGAGCAUUGAAUGCUUUGUGUGUUUAUGUGUUACUGGGCAUUGAACCCAGGGGUGCUGUACUACUCAGCUCUCUCCCACAUCCCUAUUUUUCAUUUUGAGAGUCUUGAUAGGUUUCCAAGGCUAGCUUUGAGACUUGAAUCCUUCUGCCUCAGCCUUCUGAGUUGUUGAGAUUAUAGGUGAGCUCCACCAGGCAUGGCACAAAUGUUUUAUUAAGUACCCAGUGUGUUGCCUGUUUCCCAUGAUAGAGCUCACCUUGUCUGUGUGAUUCCUGUCAUUCAGAUUUCUAAGCAGUAUAAGUGUUUCAGUGGAAGUGGUUGCCUUCCCUUUUUCUCAAGUAGAGAAUGUUCAUGGCAUACUCUGAGGAUUUACAUUAACCUCUCACUGCAUGUCCUGCCAGCUGGCAGUGAUCACUAACAAAUGGGAAUAAGCAGAGGAACUGGAGUAAUAAGACAGUGAUCAUAGAAAUGACACUAUUACUUUGACUCUUUCCUAUAAAUAAAUAUUCGCUUGAACCCAAGAUGGUUAGUUUUCCAAUGAUUUUUUUUUUUUUGUCUUAGUGUGAUGUCUGGCUUUCCAUAGCUUUAAUCCAGUCAUGAAAUAUGCCAGUGAUUGAUACUGUACAGAUAAUAAGUGCAGUGGUGUUAAUCACCACCAAGUUGUAUGAAAUAAAUUUAGAUUGGAUUUCUAAAGAUUGGGCAUUCUUUCUUCAAAUUUGCCAUUUUACCCUAUCAACAUUUUGUUUUUAAUAUCUUUGGGUUCUCCGUUUGGUUUUGAAAUGCGUGAAAAGUGACAAUGCUUCCACAUAUCUGCAGAAACAGAUGGUAACAUAACGCUGAUCACACCUACCAAGAGUAUUUAUAUAAAUGAUCUUAAAGUUUAGGGGGAAAAAAAAUCACAUGAAGUGUCUAGUAUAUCCUAAUGAAAAUGCUAGUGUCCAUAAACCGUGUGUGACUAGCCCAUGUGCCGUUUUUACUUUGCUGCCAGAAAGCCUCAUUUCUCCCUCUUUUUGCAGUUUUCAUGUCUUCUACUAAACCAGGCAUCAGGAGGAAUGGGCUUUAAACUGUGUCCAGAAAACACUUGGUAUUGGGUAUAUGAUCUGGAUAAAAAGAUGUUCUCCAGAUGUGAUUGUUUUCCAGAUUCUUACUAGGCCUGUUCCUGCCCUUGUUCACAAACUGCCAUGCACUUAGGGCUGAGGCAGGUUCAGUGGGUGUUCACAGUUUUGGUAAUGGCAAACUGAACAGGAUGGGUCAUUUGAUUUUCAGUGAGGAAGCUGUGACUCUAGCCCAUUAUUGACAGAUCCUUUCAUUAUUCUGAAAGAUCUGUCAGCAAUUCAAAUUACUAGUCUCAGUAUUGAACGAUUGAUAGCCUAAAGCUUUGAAAAUCUUUGAGGGUAGUAAGUCUUAAUCUUCUGUGAGCUACACCUGACCUAGCCUUACCCAUGGAUUUAUGCUUCAAGGAGGUGUUUGUAGGAUUGAAGGGAAGGUAUGAAACAAUUACUCAUUUAGAGUCCAGGCAUGAGGAGAUGGGGAGAAUAACCAGACUAAGUAAAUGUAGUUCUCUUGCUUCUCCAUGUUUGAGUCCACUUGAAGUUGAAUGAUGAAGAAUUUUAAAGUGAAACCCAUUUAGCAUGGUUAAAUGCAGAAAACCAUGAGUUUUAUUUUGCACAUGUUCAGUUUGAAAUAUCUAUGCUAUAUAGGCAGAAAUAUUAGGAUAUACUUGGGAUAUGAAUUGGGAAUUGCAAUGAUUGGUCUAAGUGGGAGAUAGGGGAAUACUUGGCAUAUGGGUGGUAUUUAAAAUCAUGAGACUAGAUAAAAUUGCUUAAGAUGGGAGGAGUGUAGAAAAAAGAGAAAAGCCAGUCCAGGAACUCUAACACUACCUGUUGAAAGAAGUCAAGAUAGCAAGGGAGACAUAGAAGAAAUAGAAGUAAUACAUAUUUUAUUUAGAAACUAUCAAGUUAUAAAAUAAAGAUACCUCUAAUCUCUCUAUUCUGAAGGCAAACAAGGAAUGGAAGAGAAAUUCCUCAGCCUGUUAAAGGAUAUCUAUGAAAAAUUGAUAGAUUUUGAUCUACAACUUCAAAUUUAAUAGUCUAAGACUGGGUACUUGGGCUGGGGUUGUGGCUCAGUGGUAGAGGGCUUGCCUUGCACAUGUGAGGCCCUGGGUUCCAUCCUCGGCACCACAUAAAUAAAUAAAGAUAUUGUGUUCAUCCACAACUAAAAAAUAUUUUAAAAAAGACUGGGUGCUUAACUUUAUGAUCAGAAAAAAGACAAGGAUAUUCACCCUUGUCAGUUGUAAAACAUUGUACUGGGAGUUCUACCAGUAGCUGUGUUUUGAAAAUUGACACCAAUACAGACAUUUGUGCCUAGUUUUAUACCCUUUGCAAAUUUGUAUUUCUUUCCCUCAGACCCCCAGAUGUUUCCUAGUCAUUACUACUUCACAUUAGAAUGCAGUCCAUGUCUCUCCUUGUUUUUUUACUGGUAUUUUGGUGUUCUUCGUACUGACUUAUCUGUAUAUUUAAUCUGACAUAUAUGUUUAAAUGCAUAACUCAAUCAGAAUUAUAUAUUGACGGAUCCCAUUGUAACUUAGAAAUAGAGAAUUUCCUAAAGACAAAUAUAUGUUUAAAUAUUAAUAAAUAAAUUUAUAUAGUUUUGUUGUUUUUAGGUUUAAUUCAUUAUCUGGAAACAAUCUUAGCACAUAAAAGAAAUAAGCAAUGAUGAACUUAGUGCAUAUGAUAUAUAUGUGUAUGUGAUUCAGCACAUAAAUGAAGUAGAUAAUAAAGUAUUAAGUGAAGACAUAAUUUUAUUUUUCUCUAAAAAAUAAAAGAUCAUAUGUAAAAAUAAUGCACCUGUUCCCCACUGAUUUAUGAUGUCACUUUUAUCAUACAUAAACUUUGCCAAUGAUAGUGUCUGUUUUUUUUGAUACUAUUCUGAUCACUUUAGUUUUAUAAUGCUUUUGAACUCCCUUUUCAUUACUGUUGCUUUCUGUCCUCAAGAUUUUCUUGGCUAUUGUCAGCCAUUUAUUUUCAUAUUAAUUUGUGGAUAAAUAUGUCAGUCUUCCUAUCCCUGAAUGAGUUUCCAUUUAUUUUAGUUUGUUUAAUAUACCUUAGAAAAGUUGAGCUACUUGAUUUUUACUUUGUCAUGCUGGUUUCUUGAUAGAUUGAAUUCCAUGUAUUUCAUUAUUAAUUGCUUUUGUGGAGAUCUGACACUCCUUCUCAUUUUAUAUUUUGUUAUUUUUUGAUAAUGUAGAAAGGCUGUUGAUUUUUAAGAUAUCUAUACUGUCUCUAGAAAUUCUAAGAGUUUUUUUUUUCCAUUGAUACACUUCAGUUUGCUACAUAAAGAUAAAAUCUGUGUUCAACAGUAAUUUUCUCACCUCCUAUUUCUAACAGCUUUUUUUUGGCAUUUCCAUUUCUCAUUUAUUGACUAGAAAGUCCAUUUACUUAUUAUUUAACUAAUGGUGACAGCAGGUAUUCUUAUUAAUACCAUUUUGAUUUUUAAGGUAAUUGGUGCUUGAGUUUUAUGACCAUAUCAUGUUGGACAAUUACUUAAAAUAGUAUGUUAAUGAAGUAUCUUUCUAUUCCUAAUAGAAAGGAGUAAUUUUUACCAAACAUCUUUAAUAAGCAGUUUUAUAAUCAAAAGGAGAAUGUUAACUUCAGAUGAGGUGGAUCCCCAGUGUACAGUAUAUACAGUAGAAGAUAUAUCUCUUUAUAUUUAAAACAUAAUUCUCUGCCCAUGUAGGAAACAUUUUCUUCAGCUAAAUACUUGUAUGAUGUCUAGCUCAACUCAGAUACAUUGACAUGUUAGUGAAAUAAUGAGUUAAUGAAAACAGUAGUCCAUAGUGAAAAAAGAAGGGUAAGAAGGAAAAGCUAGAAAGAAUAAGCCUUGGAAUGAUGAAAAUGUGGGAGGCCACAGCAUAAUAUGGGCAAAGGCAGGCUAUCUCUUCCUCCAAAUUAUUGUCCAAACCCAGACACUUUUGAAAGGGGUGGGUCAUUAGUAAAUAAUAAGCUCAAAUGGCUUCAUUCCAAGUGUUUAGAGGGAAGAGGAGUAGUGCACCAGUCUAAUGGGUCUGAUUCUUCUUUAGUCUGUUAUCAUCUACAGCUUUUAUGAGCCAAGUUAAUAACUUGGUUCUUAAAUGCCCCUGCAAUAAAUUGGAACUUCUAUAUAUGAUCUGAAGUGAUAUGCUUCCUGUAGCACCUUAAAAAGCCAUCCCAAACUCUGUUCUCAGGUUUGCAUGCCUGUUGCCUGUAGCUUUCUGCCUUAUUCAGAUCCCUGUUUCAUUCCUUUCUACCAGUUUCCUCUUGUCUGUGCUUUCUUUCUAAGUUCCAUUACUUUAAACACAUUUAUUCCAUUAAUCCAUAAGUAUUCUUGUACCUAGAAGUCCAAUUAUUCUCAGUUCAUUUUGAUACUGCUCUCAUUGUUUAAUUAUUCAAUAUAUGAAAGAAUAUGAAUAGACAUACCCUAAAGAGUAUACACAAAUGGUUAAUAAGCACAUGAAAAAAAAAAAUCUAACACCAUUAGUCAUCAAGGAAAUGCAAGUGAGGUAAUUUUAUAUCCACUUUAUAAUUAACUUUAAAAUUAGGGGCGGGGUGGUAAAGAUAUGGGGCAUUAGAACCAUCAUCCUGGUGGGAAAAUAAAGUGGUACAGCCAUUUUGGAAAACAGUAAGGCAGUUCCUCAAAAGGUUAAAGGUAAACUUAACCAUAUGAUCCAGCAAUUCUGUUCCAUUCCCAGAGAAAUGAAAACUGACACAUAUAUAUGAAUGUUCAUGAAGUAUUAUUCAUUUGAUGAAUGGAUAAAUAAAUGUGACGUAUCCAUAUAUCAUAGAAUAUUACUUGUCAGAAAAGAAUUGAAGUACUGACAACAUGCUAAAACAUGAAUAAGCUUUCAAAACAUUUUGUUAAAGAAACUAAUUAUAGAAGUCCACAUAUUAUGUAAUUCUGUUUAUAUGAAAUGUCCAGAAUAGGCAAAUCCAUAGAGACAAGAGAGGAGGUUAGUGAUUGCCAGAAGAUGGCAGAAAGUAGUAUGAAGGGAAAUAAGGAAUUACUGCAAAUGUAUAUACAGGUUCUUUUUGGAGUGAUAAAAAUGUUCUAAAAUUGAAUGUGGUGAGUGUUGCAUAACUGACUAUACUAAAAAAUCAUUGAAUUUUAUAUUCCUUAAGUGGGCAAACCAUGAUUCAUGAAUUAUAUCUCAAUAAAACAUUGAAUAUGUUCACACAUGUGUGCACUGUGCAGUGCUGGGGAUUGAACCCAGCACCUUGUAUAUGCUAGGUACAUGUUCUGCUGAGCUAUCUUCUCAGUCCUAAAGAAUUUUUUUAACUUAGCAGAUUAUAUACUUUCCUAUGUAAUUUUUGUUGUUGUUAUGUCUUUUUUUUUCUUUUUGUACUGGAGAUUGAAUCCAGGGGCACUUUACCACUGAGCUAUAUCUCCAGUUCUUCUUAUUUUUUAAUUUGAGACAGAGUCUUGCUAAAUUGCUGAGUCUGGCCUCAUCUUGCAAUCCUCCUGCAUCAGCUUCCCAGGUGUUGGCAUUACAGGACUGCACCAUUGUGUCCGGCUCCGGGGUAGUUCUUUUAUGUUUUAAAUAUGCCUUUGUUAAAGACAAGCAGAGGAAAAAGGAAAUUGAAUAUAUUUUUAUGAACUAUACUUUGAUAGUGCAUCUACAACGUGAAAUGUUAGAUUUUCAUAACAAGAUUAUUAACUGGUGGUGAGAGAGUAAGCUAGAACAAGCUACUCUAUAGUAGAAGAAUAAUAUAGUAUACCUAUAAGAUGGAAUAAUAAACAGUUAAUAUUUUCAAUAUAUGUUUAAUGACAUGAAGAAAUACUUGAAAAAACAGGAUAGUCAUUUUUAUGUAGCAUAUAAUUUUCAUUAUGUAGUUCUUGAUGUGUCUACAUUGUGAACUGUGAGGAGAAAAAAAGCUGAAUUUAUUGUCAGAAUUAUAGAAUGAGUGGAGAGAUUAGAGGUACUUUUAAUUUAUUUAAAAUUGCACAUAGUUUCUGAACAAAAUAUGUGUAACUUUGACUUUAACAUAAAACCUAUUUAAUACUUCACCACUUCACCUUUGUAAUAGUUAUGGUGGAACAUAUGGUAUAAUGUGUCCUAGUGAAAUUCAUGUAAGACAAGGCCGUUGCCACUGUACUGACCAAAUUGUCCCAUCUGUUUCAUUUGCAUGAUUCUGAAAAAUAAAUAACUUUAAUAUUUUUUGUAGGUUAUUAAUGCUGCAUUGGCUUUAGCAGCAAAACCACAGAGUAAACUGGCCCAAGAGAACAUGGAUCUUUUUAAAGAACAGUGGGAAAAACAAGUCCGUGUUCUCACAGAUGCUGUUGAUGACAUUACUUCCAUUGAUGACUUCUUGGCUGUUUCAGGUAAUGAACUGGUUCCCCAGCAUAGCAUUUAAGGAUGUGCAUAAUUACUGGCAUCUAAUUUUACAGUAAUAGACAAAGUCCCCCAUGUCUGGGCAAGUAAAAUAAAUUAUUUUAGUAAUAAUAUUGUGUUAGUUUUCAUUUUAAUUUAAACAAACAAAGUACCACUGCCUCCUGAGUAAUAGAAGAUGGAAUUGGAGCUAUUUCCCUCAUGGUGGGGCUGAUGGAGAUCCUGGAAGCAAGAGUUAGAAAGCUGUCUGAGACUUUCUCUGCUUUCAUAGAGUAAAAUCCUUCUUUAACUGUAACUUGUCAAGCACAGUAACCACCCUUCUUGCUGCUACUGUGUUUAGAAAAAUUUUUGACCUGUGUUGGUCCCAGUAGACACUGUGGUUGUGUUAUAAGCCUAUGAAACAGAAGAAAAAGAACUUCUCAGUACCAUCACCUUUAGUUUCCUUUUUAAAAUAGAUUUUGUUUUGUUUUUUCCCCUCCCUUUUCUUGGAAAACCUCUCCUGUCUCAGAAAUGAUCACAGUUUAAAUGCCUAUUUUUCCAAAGACUCUUUGUCUGAAUGAUACGUAGAUAGAAAACAGAGAGGAAAUAUUUAAGUGCCUUUUAAUUAUGAACUUAGAAAAAAUAAAUCUGUGUAAUUCACCUCACAAAAACAGUUGAUUUCAUUAUAUAAACAUAAACUGGUAAUGACAUAGUAAAUUGCAUUCGUAUAGAAAAUGUCUGUCACAAAUGCAAUUUAGUGUUUAUCACACAGAGAUAAAUUUCAAUCAUGUCUCCUUAGAGUUGAGCAACAUUAAAUGCAUUCUUCAUUUAUUUGGGCUUCUGUUGUCCUUGGCUUGGCUACAUGGCUUUUCACUGGAAGCACCUGGCUUCCUGAAGCCAGUGGCUGGGUUCUUGUAGGGCUGAAACUAUCACUAUAGGGAACUGUGGGCCAGAAUGUGGGAGAUUUUGAGUGGCAAUGGGGCUUGAAAGAGAAGCAGGACUUAAGUAUAUGCAUAGCACAAUCCUCCAGCAAUGACCUAUAUAAGGAUGACCAUGUGUUCUGAAUACCAAUGGUUCCUUGUCUUUACAUGCUUUCCUUGGGUUUGGAAGUUCUGGCUUGAAAAGGUGAGAAGCAGACAGUCUGCAAACUGAAAAACAAUAGGGCAAGCCAUGUUACUGAAGGACUGCCAAAUUGCAGGUUACUGGUACUUUAAAACAAAAACUCAUUUGCAAGCACAACUUUGCAGGUGCCAAAAAUGCAGCAAUGGCUUUUUUGGGAAAUCUUGGCCUUCUAUUGUUUUUCCCAUUGAAGUACCAAGUUAUUCUUUUUCAUAGGUUUAGAGAGAAACAUUCCACCUUCACUGCACACUUUUAAGCAAACAAUAUAUUCUGAAAUCUAAAUUCAAAGCCCCCCUCCGGAUAAAUACUGCAUUUCUACAGUUGCUUUUUUGAGAUUAGGUUGGGUAUAGCUUAGACUUGGUCUCAAGGGAUUUUCAGUCUUCUUACAGCAAAAUAAAAUGUAAUAGAAUCAAUGUUCCUCAUGCAACAUUCUUCAAAUCGGAGGAAAAAAAUGUUUUCUGUAGUAGCAUUUAGUGGGAUCCAGACAGUGUCUUCAAGGUAUAUGACAAAACAGAAGACUAGUAAUAAACAAACAAACAAAUAAAUAAAUAAAAUUUAGAAAAUUUUUAAGAAUCAAAUUCUUUAGCAUUAUACUUUUGUCUGGUGACUGUGUUUAAUUUUUAUGCAAGUAUAUGAGAAUUUGAGAGAGGAUUGUUUUGAUGGAAAGGAGUUUAGACAGUUUCUGUUCAGCAGAUGAAAACAUGGAACUGUUGUCUAAGGAAGUUGUAAUUUUUUGUUUUUUUGUUUUAAUUUUUUGUAGUUGUAGAUGGACAGCAUACCUUUAUUUUAUUUGUUUUAUUUUUAUGUGGUGCUGAGGAUCAAACCCAGUGCUUCUGCCGCUGAGCUACAGUCCCAGCCUGGAAGUUGUAGUGUUUUUAGAGCAUCUAAAUCUUAGAGGGCUACCUGGUAUGUUUUUCUAAUGUUCUGUCAUAGGGUUGCUUGAGGGAUGUCAAGUAAUAAUUAGUAGGACAAGGCUUUUAUUCACAGUUCCUCUGCUUUUUAGGGGCAUAGGAGGAAAGGAGGAGACAAGCAGAAGCCGAUGCAGAGUUCUAGUAGACUGAGCAGUUAAUGUCCAGCACUCAGAAUCUUUGACACCCUUAAGCACCUACCCUACCCAUUGCAUCUCUAGAACUUUUUUGUGGGGUGACUGGAGGUGACUCCUGUUCUUACCUGAUACACAGCCUAGGUAGGUGUCAUUUAUAGUGGUUAUAGGCAGUAGGCAAGAAGCCACGUCUUGUCUUCACUCAGAAGUGCACCAUGUGCCAAUUUCCCUUUGCCCUAAAGCACACGGGGGCCAUAGUGGUCCUGUUGUGAAAUGAGCUUGCUUUUGAGUAGGGGGGCUGCCCAAUAGAGUCUGGCUUAAGGUAGGUGAACUUGAUAUGGUUCAGCUAAAGGUAAGGCUGCUUGAUUUCUUGGAGUGGUUAUUUCUCCUAUAUUCCGGAGCCUUGAGACCAUUCAGUAGUAUGAGAGGUUUUGUGGAAUAGCUCCACUAAUGAUUUCCACCAUCAAAUUCCCUCUUAGAAGCCCAGAGGUCUAGAUAUUUACUGUAGUCCUGCCCACUCAAAACCCACCUAAGAGGAAGUUAUUUGUGGAGUAGAACUGAGCAUCCUCUAUUAUUUCUGGCUGCCCUCCCACCAUGAUUCCAGAAGUUCCUGCAUACUUAUCAUAGAUGAUAUCCUGAUUUGUAGCUCAAAAGGUAAGACAUUUUACUUAAUUUUUGAUUUUGUGUUUAAUAGCGAAAAAGCAAAACUAUAGAUGAAAGUUUCUCUUUGGAGGGAGUGAUUCAAUUAUUGGUGAAGUUAGAGGAUUUGAUUUCUAACUCCCAGGCCCACUAGAUAUAUGACCUUGAAUAGGCAAGUCACUCAGAACUUUGUGCCCCAGUUUCCUCAUGGUGUUUUUGUUUGUUUGUUUUUUGUUUUUUUUUAAUGUCUACACUAUAGAGUAAAAUGUCAAGCACUCAAAAUAGUGCUUUGGUUAAAGUAAGUCCUCUACAUAAAGCAUGAAACAAGAUUAUCAUAGGUGCAUCUUCUGCACUGAUAAAGUCAUCCAGACCAAAGAAUCUGAAGACAGGCCUUGUUUUUAGACUAGAGCACUUACAGCCUUUCUGGAGAAUGCCAGUUGGCAUGGUUCCUGUAGGGUAAUUAGAUACUGUUUGGUUACUUUAAAAAUAUAUGUCUUUUAAUUCAGUAGAACCUCAUUGACUCAAAAUUUUCCUUAGGGUAAAUGUCACAAAUGUUUGUCAAAAUACCUGUAUAAGACUUUUCCCCCCACCAAAAUAUCUAGGAAAAACUGGAAAAGUAAAAUUAUAGCCCCUCCAUUUAUUCCACUGGUGCUUAUACAACUAUUAGAAUGGACAAGGUAGAUCUAUUGAGGCAUACCUAAAAAAAGUUUCAAGUGAUAAAGAUAUAGUAGUGUCUUCUAUGGGACUCCCUUGGUGUCCAUUUACACAUAGCUGUACAUAUUUACAUAGACAGUUGUGUGUAUAUAUAUAAUUUUUUUUUCCUAUUAAAAGCACAUCUACAGGGCUGGGGAUGUGGCUCAAGCAGUAGCGUGUUCUCCUGGCAUGCGCGGGGCGCUGGGUUCGAUCCUCAGCACAACAUAAAAAUAAAAUAUAGUGUCCACCUAAAACUAAAAAAUAAAUAUUUUUUUAAAAAGCACAUCUACAAAUAAAGAUUGUAUUAAAUAGUCUUUAAGGGGGGUACAGAUCGGUGUGUCUGUUCAUAAUGAACUGAAUUUCCUGAGAAAUUCAGUUAAUGCUAGAGUGAUAAUGAGAUUACAGUUAGUGUGGGUACCUCUUAACUUCCUGCAUUUGCACACAACUAGUGGACUCUCACUUACCCUUAGGGCUGUAAGUGUAGAGAGCAGGCUUAGCACUGUAUCCUGGGUAUGUGGUAGCUCCGAGUAGGCUUCACCUUUCAUAGAGCUGGGUCCUGAGUAUGUGGUGGCCCCAAGUAGGCUUCAGCUUUUCAUAUUACUUUAGUCUGUUUUCUACAAUAGAAGACUUAAAGGAAGUCUUGCGGAAGUCUUGCUAAAGACUUGCUAAAGAAUGGCAUACCUUUCCCUGGUUUGAGGUCCCUGGAAGAAAGCCAGUAUGAAUUCAAGAAAAUCCAAAUUGAUUUUUGAAAACAUAGGUAUUUAGAUGAAGGUUUGGGCCACUAUAUUUAAUUAAUAAAAAGGAUGUUAUACUUCGUUGAUUCUAAAAUAUACCCUCCUGCAAUAAUCCCAAUAGGUAUUAACAAUCUUGAAAUGGGAAUGAGUCUUAAAAUCAAUGAUAGGAGAAAACUUUGGUUUAUGAUCUUGUUAGCAACAUCUUUUCCUUUCCCUUGUAUGAUACAAGCUACAUACAUCAGUAUUGUUCAGUAAAGGCAAAAGUUUUAAACCCAAGGCUUUGAAGUGUUGGCAAGCUUACUACCAGUUUGUUUAAAUUAGUAAGUAAAGAGUUUACAAUUUAAAAAUGUAUGAUAAGCUUCAUUAAAACUACAAAACACUGAAGAAAGAAAUUGAAGAAGACCUUUGAAGAUGGAAAGCCUCCCACAUUCUUGGACAGGCAAAAUUAAUAUUUUCAAAAUGCCCAUACUACCAAUUUCUGCAUUUCUUCACCUUUCUCAUCCCUUUUCUCUCCCUCUCCAUCUCCUAUUCCACUUAUCUUCCCUAUCUUUAUGAUAGCUGACCCCUACCCCUCUUUCCACCAUCUUACUUUAUUCUAGCUUCUGCAUAUGAGAAACUAUUCAACCCUUGACUUUCUGAUUCUGGCUUAUUUCACUUCCUAUGAUGUUGCCCAUAAUUUCUGCCAUAAUUUCAUUCUUCUUUAUGGCUGUUGUGUAUAUAUACCACAGGUUAAUCCAUUCAUCUAUUGACAGAUAAAUUGUACUGCUAUAAACAUUGUUGUGGCUAUAUCACUAUAAUAUAGUACGCUGAUUUUAGUUCUUUUAGAUAAAUGCUGAGGAGUGGGAUAGCUGGGUCAUAUGGUGGCUACAUUCCUAAAAAAAAAAUUGAGGAAUCUCCAUACUGCUUUCUAGAACAGUUGUAAUAUUUUGCAGUCCCACCAAAUGUAUGAGUGUACCUUUCCCCCACAUCCUUGUCAGCAUUUAUUAUCAUUUGCAUUCUUUUAAAAAAUUUUUAUUAGUUGUUAGUGGGCCUUUAUUUAUUUUUAUGUGGUGCUAAGAAUCAAACCCAGUGCUUCACACAUGCUAGGCAAGUGCUCUACGACUGAGCCAUACCCUCAGCCCUCUGUAUUCUUGAUAUUUGGCAUCUGACUGGAGUGAGAUGAAAUUUCAAUGUAGAUUUGAUUUGCAUCUCCCUAAUUGCUAGGGAAGUCAAACAUUUUUUUCAUAUAUUUCUUGGCCAUUUGUAUUUCUAUUUUUGAGAAGUGUCUGAUUAGUUCUUUUGCCCAUUUAUUGAUAGGAUUAUUUGGGGGUUUUAGUGUUGAGCUUGAAUUCUUUAGGUAUUCUACAUAUUAAUUUCCUGUCAGAGGAGUAGCUGGGAAAGAUUUUCUCCCAUUCUAUAGGCUCUUUCUUCACACCUUCAAUCAUUUUCUUUGCUGUGCAGAAGCUUUUAAAUGUGGCUCUAUCCCACUUAUUGAUUCUCAGUUUUAUUUCUUGAGCUUUAGGGAUCUUGUUAUGGAAGUCAGUGCCUGCACUAAUGUGAUGAUGGAGUGUUGGCCCUGUUUUCUUUUAGAAGUUGCAAAUUUUCUGGUCUGUUCCUAAGUCUUUGAUCCAUUUUGAUUUGAUUUUUGUUCAGGUAAGAUGUACAAAUCUAGUUUCAUUCUUCUACAUAUGGAUAUUCAGUUUUCUCAGUAACAUUUGUUAAAAAGGCUGUCUUUUCUCCAACAUAUAUUUUGGGCACCUUUGUCAAAUAUAUGUCUGUAUCUGUAUGUGUUUAUUUCUGUGUCUUCUGUUUUACUCCAUUUGUCUGAAUGUCUAGGUUGUGUGUGUGUUUUUUUGUUUGUUUUUUGUUUUUGGUACCAGGGACUAAACUUAGGGCCUUGUGUAUGCAAGGCAAGCACGCUCCCAACUGAGCUAUACCCCCAGCCCUCUAGCAUCACUCUUCAUGCUCACAAUUGCUUUGUCUAUUGUAGCUCUUUUAUUCUUCUAAAUGAAUUUUAGGAUUGUUUUUUCUAGUUCUGUGAAGAAUGUCAUAUAUUGAUGGGGAUUGUAUGAAAUCUGUUAUAAUACUUUUGGUAGUAUGGGCAUUUUGAAAAUGUUUGUUUUGCCUGUCCAUUAGUGUGGUGGGCUUUCUAUCUUCAUUGGUCUUUUUUCUUUUUUUUGUUCGGUGUUUUAUAUUUUUAAAGUAGACAUCUUUCACAUCCAUGUAUUUUAUUUUUUAUGUUAUUGUGAAUGGGAUACUUUUCCUGAUUGCUUUCUCAGCAAGAUCGCUAGUAGGGUAUAGGAAAGCUACUGAUUUAUGAAUGUUACUCUUUUAUCCUUCUACUUUGCUGAAUUUAUUUAUCAGCUCUUUUGGUGGCCAAGUGUGGUGGUACAUACCUGUAAUUCCAGUAGCUCGGGAGGCUAAGGUAGAGAGAUUGCAAAUUCAAAGCCAGCCUCAGCAAUUUAGUGAGGCACUAAGCAACUCAGUGAGACCCAUCUCUAAAUAAAAUACUACAGAGGGCUGGGGGUGUGGCUCAGUGGUUGAGCGCUUGCCUAGCAUGUGUGAAGCACUGGGUUUGAUUCUUAGUACCACAUAAAAUCUGGUGGGGUUUUUUUGGUCUUCUAGUUAUAGGAUCAUGUCAUUAGCAAACAGAGUUCAUUUGACUCCUUUUCCUACUUGUAUUCUUUUAAUUUCUUUUCCUUGUCUGAUUGCUCUGGCUAGAGUUUCAAGGACAAUUUUGAGUAGAAGUGGUCAGAAUAGACAUCCUUGUCUUGUUCCUGAUUUUGGAGGAAAUGCUUUCAUUUUUUUGCCAUUCAUUAUGAUGCUGGCUUUGAGUUUGUCUUGUAUAGCUUUUAUAAUGUAGAGGUAAGUUCCUUCUAUCCCUAGUUCCUUUAGCACUUUUAACAUGAUGGGAGAUGGAUUUUUAAAAAGGCCUUUUCUGCAUCUAUUGAGAUGAUCACCUGAUUCUUGUCCUUAUUUCUAUUUAUGUAGUGAAUUACAUUUAUUGAUUUGCAUAUGUUGAGUUGUACUUGCACAAUGGCAUGUAGCCCAUGUGAUCUUGGCAUAGUAUCCUCUUGAUGUGUUUUUGACUGUGGUUUCCUAAUACUUUGUUAUUUUUGUAUUUAUGUUCAUCAGGGAUAUUGGUCUAUAGUUUCCUUUCCUUGAUGUAUCUUUGUUUUGGUGUCAGGGUUAUACAGGCUUCAUAGGGUAUAUUUGGGAGUGUUCCCUCCCUUUCAGUCUCAUGGAAUAAUUUGAAGAAGGUUGGUAUUAGUUCUUCAUUAAAGAUUCAGUAAAACUCUGCUGAGACUCUAUCUGGUCCUGGGUUUUCUUUGUUGGAAGACUUUUAAUUGCUCUUUCAAUUAUAUUGCUUGACACCAUUUGACCCAGCCAUCCCUCUCCUUGGUCUAUACCCAAAGGACUUAAAACAGCAUACUACAGAGACACGGCCACAUCAAUGUUUAUAGGCGCACUAUUCACUAUUGCUAAUUUUUUGAACGAAUGUAGGUGCUCUUCAAUGGUUGCAUGGAUUUGGGGGAAAGGUGCCGUGGUAUAUUUGUUGGGACUGGAAUAUUUUUCAGCUGUUCUAGAGAGUAGUAUCAUGGCAUUUGCAGGUAAAUGGAUGAAGUUAGAGAAGAUAUUGUCAAUCCCAAAAAAACAAAUCCCAAAUGUUUUCUUUGAUAUAAAGAGGCUGAUUUAUAGUGGGAUAGGGAGCAGGAGCAUGGUAGGAACAUAUGAACUCUAGGUAGGGCAGAGGGGUUGAAGGGGAAGGGAGGGGUCAUGGGGUAAUGAUGGUAGAAUGUGAUGAUCAUUUCUAUCCAGGUAAUGAAGACAUGGAUUGGUGUGAAUAUACUAUGUAUACAACCAGAGAUAUGAAAAUUUGUGCUCUAUAUAUGUAAUAAAAAUUGUAAUGCAUUCUGCUGUCAUAUAAAUUAAAAAAUUUUAUUGCUUGAUACUGGUCUGUUUAAAUUUUCUAUAUCUUCCUGGUUCAAUUUGGGCAGGUCAUAUGUGCGUAGAAAUUUGUUUCUUCUGGAUUUUCCUUUUAGAGUAUAAAGUUUCAGAAUAGUUUCUAAUAAUCCUCCGGAUUUCAGAAGUAUCUAUGUUGGUAUCUCCUUUUUCAUUUCUAGUUUUGUUAAUUUGGGUAUUUCAUUUGGUUAGUUAGGGUUUAUCAAUCUUGCUUAUCUUUUCAAAGAACCAACUCUUUAUUACAUUAAUCUUUUGUAUUUUUUUCCUUCUCAGUUUCAUUAAUUUUGGCUCUGAUCUUAAUUAUUUUCUGUCUUCUACUGAUUUUGCCAUUAGUUUGUUAUUCCUUUUUAAAACCUUGAGGUAUAGCAUUAGGUUAUUUAUUUGAGAUCUUUUCUAUUUUUUUUUUUUUAACAUAGGCACUCAAUGCUAUACACUUUUUUCUUAACACUGCCUUCAUGUUGUUCCAGAGAUUUUGUUAUUUUGUAUUUCUGUUGUCAUUUAUUUCCAAGAAUUUUUUUAUUUCUUCUAUGAGUCGUUCCUCAUUUAAGAGUAUUAUUUAAUCUCCAUAUGUUUAUGUGGUUUCUAUAAUUUUUCUUAUUGUUGAUUUUUCAUUCCAUUAUGAUCUGAUAGAAUGUGCUAGAUUAUAUCGUUUUUUUGUUUUGUUUUGUUUUGCUAAGACUUACAUUUUGAUCAAGCAUAUGUUCUAUUUUGGAAAAGGUUCCAUGAGCUGCUGAGAAGAAAGUGAAUUCAGCUGUUUUCAGGUGAAAUAGUCUGUAGAUAUCUGUAGAUCCAUUUAAUUUAUAGUAUCAUUUAGGUCAGAAAUUUGAUUUUGUUUAGAUGACCUGUCCAUUGGUGAAAGGACUGUGUUGAAAUCUCACAGUAUUAUUGUAUUGGGGUCUCUCUGGGAUUUACUAGCAAGAAGUUUUUGUUCAUUUGUUUACAUAAUUAGGUGCACUAACAUUUGGGGCUUACAUGCUUACUACCCUUAAAUCUUCUGGUUGGAGUGUUCCCUUUAUCAAUAGUGGUGACUUUCUUUCUGUCUUCUGAUUAAUUUUUGCUUAAAAUCUGCUCUGUUAGAUAUGAGAGAGAAUAGCUAAUCCUGCUUGUUUUCAGACUCAAUUUGCUUGGAAUCCCUCCCCCAUUCUUUUACAUUCUGUCUGUGUAUAUCUUUGCCUCUUGUAAACAGCAUAUAGUUGGGUCUUAUUUUUUAAUCCAUUCAGCCCUUUUAACUGGGGAGUUGAGACCAUUUACAUUCAGUGUUUUUAUAGAUAGCUGUUUGUUAUUUUAUGCCAUUUUGGUUUGUUUGCCACAUUUAAUUCAGUCUUUAUUUUCAUUUAGUUAGUUUCUCUUUUAGUGAACAUCAUCUAUGUGGGAGCUCUGGGGUUUAUUUUUGAGUUCUGCAUGUAGUAUAUCUUUGUCGUGGAAAGUUUUUAUUUCUGCAUGAAAUUUGAAAGAUAGCUUUGCUUGGAUGUAGGGAUCUUGGAUGGCAGUUGUUUUCUUGUGGAGCUUGAAAUAUCUCAUUCUAAGCCCUCCUUGAUUCUAGGGUCUGAAUUGAGAAGUCAGAAGUGAGCCUCAUUGGUUUGCCUUUAAAUAUGACCUGACUUUUUUUCUUCUAGCUUUUAAUAUUUUUAUUCUCUGUUAGGCAUUUUGAUUAUGAUGUGUCUUGGAGAGGUUCUUUUUUGAUCUUGUCUUUUUGAGGUUCUGUUAUAAGCAUCUUAUAUGUGGAUGUCUAUCUCAUUUCUGAAGUUAGGAAAAUUUUCUGCAGCUAGGUCACUAAGAGGUUCUCAAUAUCAUUAGCCUGUAUCUACAUGUUCUCUUCUGUCCCAGUGAAUUUCAGGUUUGUUACAUUGAAUUUUCCCAGUUGUAUAUUUUUAUAUUCUUAUAUCCUAUGUUGAAGAUCUGAAGUUGUCUUCUAGACAGCCUAAUCUGUUUAGUGACACUUCCAAGUGAUAAUUUAAUUCAUGUGUCUCUACCAUUUCCAGGAUUUUGAUUGGUUUCUUUUCAGUAUCUAUCUCCAUUUCCUUAUUGAAAUGUGCUUUCACCUCCUGUACUUGCUCUUAACUUGUUCCCUAGAUCUUUUUAUUUUAUCAUUUUAUAGCCUGUCUCUGGGAUUUCCUUCACUUCCAUAUAUAUCAGUUCCUUUGGGGGAUUGUGAAUUUUGGGGAGAUGUUUGCCUGUUUCUUCAUGAAUUGUGUAUCAGUUAAUUUCCUCUUUCUUUUUAUGCAUUUGUUCUUUGGUAUGUAGUUUUUUGUUUUGUUUUGUUUUUUUGGGGGUUUUUUUUGUUUUGUUUUGUUUUUGGUGGUGGUGGUUGUUUUGUUCUAUUAACAAAUGAGUUGAUAUCCAGGAGUAGAACCUGAGGUCUCUCUCUAGUAGUUCCUAUUUGGGGCCUGGUCAUUGCUUUUAUUGUCUCCCUUAUUCUCUGUGUUGAGAUAGUGUUGAGGCUCUAGCAGGGCUAGCUCAUAUAUCGAGUGAGGUUUGCUGUUUUGUGGUUGAUUUGUUGAGUGUUGCUCAGCAGCAGGAUCUCCACUCUGUGAACUCGAAGUAUCCUAAUCACUUCCCAGCCCCUCUUAGAGAAAGGGGGAGCAAGUUAUAGCAUUAAUGUUAGCAAUCAUUGUUAAGCCUUAAAAUAAAUGUCCUGUGUCUACUUUGACAUCUAUAACAUGAAUUAGCACCUGUAGAGGAAUGGUGGGGUCAGCAUUUAACAUCAGCACCAAUAAUAAGUAACCAUGAACUAGAUCAGACAUUAAAUAGCAGAUGUCUACUACCUCAUCCACUGUAUUAAUAAUCACAAAAACACGAAUGGGGUAGGAAUUACAUAAACUGUGAAAUUCUAUCAGCUAGUGGGAUACAGUUUCUUAAGAGAAAAAUAGAGUAGGAUGGCAAGAGAAAUUUUGGAUAUAUUUAAAAGUGAACAGAGGAAAAGCAGGUAGCAUAUGACAGAUAUAAAGGAGGAGCAGAACAUAACUAAAAGUAAUAAAGCAGAGGAAGAGGGAACCGAACAGUUUGGCUAUAAGUGGGGGAAGAGAGUGAAGAAAACUUGCAAUCAAAAAAAAGAUCAAAACAAAUCAUACCCAUGUAAAAUUUUAUCCCCAACCAAAGCCUUAUUCUAAAGCUAAAUAAUAAAUGAAGAAAGCAGUUAAGAUGAAAGAAAAAUUUUAUACACACAUACAUAUAUAAUCAGCACAGCAGGAACACACAAUCAUAUAGAUUGGAAAAAAGUAAAAAAAAAAAAAUUACAAAAAGGAAAAAUAGGGGAAAUAAGGGAAAAAAAUUAAUGAGAAAUAAAGGGGUUUUUUUCCACUGCAGUGGUUUAAACUGUUGGCAGGAAUGGAUGUUCAUUAUUUAUACUGUUGUGUAUUUUUCAGUGUUGGGGAUCUGUGACCCUUAUGUCAAGGACUGGGGGUUGUUAAGUCCCCCUUCUUUUUUGUUUCUCAUCAAGCUGCCAGCUGUGAAUGGCCAGGAGCCAAAGUUAGUUUUAGUAAUUCUCAGCUUCCUGUCUCAGUGUGGGAUGGGAUAAACAUGGGACUGCUGACAAAUGAUGUACUUCCAUAGUGGGGCUCGCUAGUACAGAGGUAUAAAUUAGAAGGUGGGUAUAAUCUUGGCUAACCUUUGGAACUCUUUUUGAGUAUCUGAGAUUUCACCACAUACCCUGUUGCUGGGCAGAUGCCAAUCUCUGCUGGGCACCUGUGGCCUCCUGAAAUUCUACUUUCAGGGUGAGGAGUCAGAACCUCCCAAGGCCUGACAUAUUCACUGCCAUGGAUGUGAAUUAUCCAGGAUCAGACCUGGAAUGCAGAGCUGACUGGUUACUGGCAUCUUUCCAGGUACUUACUUGCAUUGGGCACCAAUAACCAAAGAGACUUGGUCUCCUCAGUAUCCCAGCCUGAAUUGCCUUACACAAAAUUCUCAUUGUGCCUGUUUCAAUGAUGCUGGUCCAGGUACCCUCUGAAUCCCACAAUGGGCAACUGCUGGGUCAAGCUGGCAACAUCUUUUUAUGAGUUCCAUCCCACCUCUGCUCACUGCUAUGUGGCCACUUAAAAAUGGUUCCCACCAGACUCUCCACCCAUUAGCCAAGUGAUUUUGGUUGUUUUUCACUCACCCAUUGUCUCUGGGUUUGGUUAAGAUCAGCCUGCUUCUCUAUUCUACAAGUUCCCCCAAGCCAAUGUUAUUCACCAUGCUUUCCCUGUCUGAUUUUGUUACUGUCCAGUGUUGAAUUUCAGUGAAUUCCCUUAGUCACCUACCUCACUAAAGUGGUAUUACCACUGUUUAAAUCAUGAGCUGAUGAACUGCUGGGGAUUGUACCCUUCUUCUAACUCACCAUCUUUCUAUCUGUCAUGAUUUUUUAAGAGGCUAAAAUAUGGUAUGAACUGUAUUGUGGUAAUCUAUCUUUCCCUUCUGUAAGAAUUCUGACUUUCCUAAUGUUGUUGUUGUGUUAUUGUUUUUUUUUUUUUUUUAAACCAACAGUUCUUUCACAUCAUUGGUUAUUUCUCAUUGUGAUUUUCAUCUUGCUUCAUCAUACUUGCAGGCUCAUAACAGAGAUCCUUCCUGCAGUCUUAUGGGAAAUUGUGAUAGGAAGGUUCUCGUGACCCACGGGGCAUUGUGCAGCCUGUAGACUUGCAAUGCAGUGGCUCUAUUCUUUGUUAGGUUCCACUUGGUUCUGUCUCACCUUGAGAUGAGAAGAAAUUAUGUGUACCAUGAGAGGGUUCCUAAAUACUUCACUCUAUCAGCCUCCUCCAGAGGAAGCUUAAACCUGCUUUCCAGCACUUCUUUCUCAGGGCUAUAAUGGCUUCUGAAUAUGAGUAGCAUCUCCUGGAGGGAGAGUGGAGACUGGAUGGAUAAAGCCUAACAGUCAACACAUGUCCUUCUGAUUGAGAUUUCAGAAUGUGUGGUCAGUGAAAUCAGUUAAGAGUUAUACCAUGAGCAAUUUCAUGUUUCGGGUAUUUUAAGAGGUCAAAUUGUUACUUCCCUUCCAAACGUUGUCAUUUGUAAUUUGACUGAGUAUGUUGGUGGAGGCUGUGAGGAAAGGGAUAGUGGCUUCUGAAGUUGAUUGAAUCAGAAACCUAUCCUGAAUAAUGACAUGUUCAAAGCAUUAGAAAACCAGAGCUGGUCAGGAGAAAAAUACCAAUAUUUGUUUCUUAAAGAUUGCAUUUGCCAUCAUUAUUCUGGCUUUUCCAAAGGACCAUUAAUACUCACCUGUUAUACCAGACACUGCUUCUACGAGUUCUUACAUGCCUUUUGAAGACUUCUUUAUGAGUAGAAGGGACAUAGCCAGAUGAUGACCUGAGGAUUUACCAUAUUGCCACUUAUUGCAGCCAUCAUUUGGACUAUUUGCUGGUGGUCUCUGCAGUUGUGGGUCAAUAAGAGUACCUCCUUCUCCCAUUCUAAGUCAUUCCCUACAGAUCUGCCUGGGCCUUUUUUUUUUUUUUUUUUAAUGCAACAUCUUUUUAAGAAAAAAUUUGUAGUUGUAGAUGUACAGAAUGCCUUUAUUUUAUUUGUUUAUUUUUAUGUAGUACUGAGGAUUGAACUUAGCGCCUCAUGCAUGCUAAGCAAGCGUUCUGCCACUGAGCUACAGCCCCUUGGUCAUUGUAAUGGCUGCAUAGGACAUGUAACUCAUUAUCCACUCAUCCUUUGGACAUUUGUUAUUCUAUUUAUAGAUGAAGUUGAAAGUGAGCCCCUUGCUCUGAGUUGGUUUAUUUUUGUGGUACUGGGGAUUGAACGUAGGAGCACUCGACCACUGAGCUACAGCCCCAUCCCUUUUUAUGUUGAAAUAGGGUCUUGCUAAGUUGCUAAGACUGGCCUCACACUUGUAAUCCUCCUGACAUGACCUCCCCAGUAUCUGUGAUUACAUAGGAAUUAUAGCUAUGAGCCACUGUGCUCAGUUGCUCUGAGGUUCUUGAAAAUCAGUUUUAAGCUUUUUGCUUUGAGGAGAAUACUUUUGAACCUUCCACAUCCCACUAUAUGACUUGGAGGAACUUCUUGUCAGUCUAACAGAAUUCACAGGUUUCCCGCCUCUAGGGGUCCUGCAGAUAUCACAAUAGACCCAACCCAUCUAUGUACCACGAGAGGGUUCCUAAAUACUUCACUCCAUCAGCCUCCUCCAGAAGAGGCUUAAACUUGCUUUCCAGCACUUCUUUCUCAGGGCUAUAAUGGCUUCUGAAUAUGAGUAGCAUCUCCUGGAGGGAGAGUGGAGACUGGAUGGAUAAUGCCUAACAGUCAACACAUGUCCUUCUGAUUGAGAUUUCAGAAUGUGUGGUCAGUGAAAUUAGUAAAGGAAGAUGAGUUCUUAAAGUUUCUGUGAUAAGAAUUUUCUGUAUGGCUUAUAAAACAAUGGUGCCUAAAAGAUGGGCAUUUCUCCUUUAAAAACCUGGAAUGAAGAGUGUUAUUCUGGUAGUGACCACAGGUUAAGUUUCUGUGGAACAGUUCAUCAGGUACCUUCAGUGAAGUGGUGCACAAAGUGUUUGACAUUGUGGUUGGCACCAAGCACACAAUCAGUAAAUGACAGAUACCAAGUUAUAAUGAUUGUCUUCUAGUGAAAGGCCCCCUUCCUCAUUCAGCUUUUUGCUUAUUCCUCAGAGAAUCACAUUUUGGAAGAUGUGAACAAAUGUGUCAUUGCUCUCCAAGAGAAAGAUGUGGAUGGUCUGGACCGCACAGCUGGUGCAAUUCGAGGUCGGGCAGCCCGGGUCAUUCAUGUAGUCACCUCUGAGAUGGACAACUAUGAGCCAGGAGUCUACACAGAGAAAGUUCUAGAAGCCACCAAGCUGCUCUCCAACACAGGUGCGGGGACUCUCCCUCCAUAGUGCUUCACACAUGGCCU